UACGAAGGGGGCUAGCGUUGUUCGGAAUUACUGGGCGUAAAGCGCGCGCAGGCGGCCAUUCAAGUCAGGGGUGAAAGCCCAGAGCUCAACUCUGGAACUGCCCUUGAAACUGUAUGGCUUGAGUAUGAGAGAGGUGAGUGGAAUUCCCAGUGUAGAGGUGAAAUUCGUAGAUAUUGGGAAGAACACCGGUGGCGAAGGCGGCGCACUGGCUCAUUACUGACGCUCAGGCGCGACAGCGUGGGGAUCAAACAGG
RNAcentral lists this ribosomal RNA (253 nucleotides) under uncultured bacterium. RNAcentral's name for it is "partial 16S ribosomal RNA". It matches the Rfam family "Bacterial small subunit ribosomal RNA", at positions 524 to 776 of the family's 1533-position model. The record is from RNAcentral.